AAGUUGUAUUUGGAAUCAAAGGAGUGGGAAGAGAAAUUGGGGACUAACAUCGAUAUUUCGGUCUCAUUAGCCCCACGCUAAUGCUACUUAUUUUGACUAAUUGUUCUAUACUAUUUUGUUAGGUUAUCUAUUUUAUUUUUUUUAAAGCUAAUUUUUAGUUUUUAAUCUCCAAUUAAAAUUUAUAAUUGAUUGUAUACUUGUUUUUCUUUUUUGGGUUU
Molecule: long non-coding RNA, 218 nt
Filed under: Trifolium pratense (red clover)
Lineage: Eukaryota; Viridiplantae; Streptophyta; Magnoliopsida; Fabales; Fabaceae
Description: long non-coding RNA (TPRA_LNC005612)
Source: RNAcentral